GGCCUCGUAGCUCAGCUGGUAGAGCACGCGCUGUACAAAAGUGUAGACGGCAUCCUUGCGUGGGUCCGAAUCCCAUCGAGGCUA
Echinostoma caproni is the source of this 84-nucleotide non-coding RNA. The record is from Rfam. Lineage: Eukaryota; Metazoa; Platyhelminthes; Trematoda; Plagiorchiida; Echinostomatidae.